RNAcentral lists this ribosomal RNA (492 nucleotides) under uncultured bacterium. RNAcentral's name for it is "partial 16S ribosomal RNA". It matches the Rfam family "Bacterial small subunit ribosomal RNA", at positions 29 to 507 of the family's 1533-position model. The record is from RNAcentral.
AUUGAACGCUGGCGGCAUGCUUUACACAUGCAAGUCGAACGGUAACAGGCCUUCGGGUGCUGACGAGUGGCGAACGGGUGAGUAAUGCAUCGGAACGUACCCAGAGGUGGGGGAUAACGCAGCGAAAGCUGUGCUAAUACCGCAUGUGAUCUGAGGAUGAAAGCGGGGGACCGAGCAGCAAUGUUUGGCCUCGCGCCUUUGGAGCGGCCGAUGUCGGAUUAGCUAGUUGGUGGGGUAAAGGCCUACCAAGGCGACGAUCCGUAGCUGGUCUGAGAGGACGACCAGCCACACUGGGACUGAGACACGGCCUAGACUCCUACGGGAGGCAGCAGUGGGGAAUUUUGGACAAAGGGCGCAAGCCUGAUCCAGCAAUGCCGCGUGCGGGAAGAAGGCCUUCGGGUUGUAAACCGCUUUUGGCAGGAACGAAACGGUGUCCGCUAAUACCGGGCGCUAAUGACGGUACCUGCAGAAUAAGCACCGGCUAACUACGUG